UACGUAGGGUGCGAGCGUUAAUCGGAAUUACUGGGCGUAAAGCGUGCGCAGGCGGUUUUGUAAGCCAGAUGUGAAAUCCCCGGGCUUAACCUGGGAAUGGCAUUUGGGACUGCAAGGCUCGAGUGCGGCAGAGGAGGGUAGAAUUCCACGUGUAGCAGUGAAAUGCGUAGAUAUGUGGAGGAAUACCGAUGGCGAAGGCAGCCCCCUGGGAUAACACUGACGCUCAUGCACGAAAGCGUGGGGAGCAAACAGG
This 253-nucleotide ribosomal RNA is filed under the name uncultured bacterium. RNAcentral describes it as "partial 16S ribosomal RNA". It matches the Rfam family "Bacterial small subunit ribosomal RNA", at positions 524 to 776 of the family's 1533-position model. The record is from RNAcentral.